GGUCAGCAAUCUGAUGGGAAAUCAGCACCAAAUGUUGAAGAGUGGGCACAUAUUCGAGAUGAAAGGGCAAGAAGACAUGAGUUAUAUGGUUAUGGUUCUACACCUUCUGCUGAGGAUAAAAAGGAAUGGUAUACUGAUGAUGGUGCAUCCAUGCAAGAUCCAAGUUCAGGGAGGGAUGAAGUAGACUACCAGGCAGGGAAAGGAAGAGGACAGAGAGGGGCUAUGUCUGGUCGAGGUGCUGCUGGCCAGAGUUCCAGUGGUGGUUCACAUGAAACAGGGUCCUUCUCCAGAGCUCCUCCACUGGGAAUAAAGGGGAGCAGAGUAGGGAGAGGAGGAAGGGGUAGGCCAACUGGUAGAGACAACCAACAGGUCCCUUUGCCCAUAAUGGGAUCACCUUUUGGGCCUAUGGGAGUUCUACCACCUGGACCAAUGCAGCCACUUGGCCCUAGUAUGUCACCUGCUCCAGGUCC
RNAcentral lists this unclassified non-coding RNA (470 nucleotides) under Hevea brasiliensis (rubber tree). The record is from RNAcentral. Lineage: Eukaryota; Viridiplantae; Streptophyta; Magnoliopsida; Malpighiales; Euphorbiaceae.